RNAcentral lists this ribosomal RNA (443 nucleotides) under uncultured bacterium. RNAcentral's name for it is "partial 16S ribosomal RNA". It matches the Rfam family "Bacterial small subunit ribosomal RNA", at positions 338 to 795 of the family's 1533-position model. The record is from RNAcentral.
CCUACGUGAUGCAGCAGUGGGGAAUAUUGGGCAAUGGGCGCAAGCCUGACCCAGCAACGCCGCGUGAAGGAAUAAGGCUUUCGGGUUGUAAACUUCUUUUCUCAGGGACGCCGAAAGUGACGGUACCUGAGGAAUAAGCCACGGCUAACUACGUGCCAGCAGCCGCGUUAAUACGUAGGUGGCAAGCGUUAUCCGGCUUUACUGGGUGUAAAGGGCGUGUAGGCGGGACUGCAAGUCAGAUGUGAAAACCACGGGCUCAACCUGUGGACUGCAUUUGAAACUGGAGUUCGUGAGUACUGGAGAGGCAGACGGAAGUCCUAGGGUAGCGGUGAAAUGCGUAGAUAUUAGGAGGAACACCAGUGGCGAAGGCGGUCUGCUGGACAGCAACUGACGCUGAGGCGCGAAAGCGUGGGGAGCAAACAGGAUUAGAUACCCCAGUAGUC